RNAcentral lists this ribosomal RNA (279 nucleotides) under uncultured bacterium. RNAcentral describes it as "partial 16S ribosomal RNA". It matches the Rfam family "Bacterial small subunit ribosomal RNA", at positions 506 to 784 of the family's 1533-position model. The record is from RNAcentral.
UGCCAGCCGCCGCGGUAAUACGGAGGGUGCACGCGUUGUUCGGAAUUAUUGGGCGUAAAGCGCGCGCAGGCGGGUUAUCAAGUCAUGUGUGAAAGCUCCCGGCUAAACUGGGAGAGGUCAGAUGAUACUGAUAGCCUGGAGUGCAUCAGAGGUAAGUGGAAUUCCGCGUGUAGUGGUGAAAUGCGUAGAUAUGCGGAGGAACACCAGUGGCGAAGGCGGCUUACUGGGAUGCAACUGACGCUGAGGCGCGAAAGCAUGGGUAGCGAACGGGAUUAGAUA